This is a long non-coding RNA of Gorilla gorilla gorilla (western lowland gorilla), 5820 nucleotides long. RefSeq lists it as uncharacterized. The transcript is spliced from 8 exons. The record is from RefSeq and is a predicted model, not a curated record. NCBI's taxonomy places the organism in Eukaryota, Metazoa, Chordata, Mammalia, Primates, Hominidae.
AAAGAAUGAAACUUCCUUACUGUUCACUAACCUACAUCUCAAUUACCUCCCAACAUGUUUGCAGCAAGUACCCUGUCGAUGGUAGGCAAGAGGAAGGUGUGACCCACAAAGAUCAAGGAAUCUAAGCCGGCCAAGGUUAAGCAUGAAUCGAGGAAAGGAAACAGAAAUCCUCUUCCUAGUCCUCUUUCCUCUGUUUUCUCCCCCUGGGUACCAGAAUUGCGACAGAGUGGGACGGCUCAGGCAACUGCAGGUCUUGGCCAGUGCUCUUCCUCACCCAGGCCAUGCAGCAUCAACACAGUCACCGUAGAACUCCUCUUAAGACAAGCAAAGGAACUUUCCAACCCAGUUGAGUGCACUUUUCCCAAGUGUGUGGUAAAAAGUUAAAUGACACUUUGUGAAAGGGAUCCUUAAGCUACAAAAACUUUUUCCCUCAUCACACUAAGCACGUGGUUUUGUCCUUGUAGGUGCAAAAGGGGCUGGAGUCAUUUGAUGAAUUCUGAAUGUUGUAAGGCUGCUUUUCUGGAAGGGUAAACAGGGAACCCUUUAGAUGCCAAGACCUUUUAGAAUAACGACCCCAUGAGCAAUCUCAGUUUAUUUCAGAAGAGGAAACUGAGGUGCAAAGGAUUGAAGUAACCUUCCAGAAGGUACACAGCUGGUGAGACAAAGCCUGGGCUGGGUCCCAAGCCUGCCUGACUCCGGACUCCCACACCCCACAGUGAUACCAGAAUCACCCUGAAAAUGGGAAACACGCUGCAGCUGCUGUCCUGAUUCCAGCCUCUGACCAGGAGAGCUGGAUUGACCAGGAAGCCAAUGAAGCUAAGUUUCAGGGCCCCCUGUCUGCCUAAGGCCUCUCCCAAGGCCCUGCACCAAAGUUUCUAUUUGUGACUUUGUUUUCUUAGAAAAAACUCCUCAAUUAUGUGAACCUCAGGCUUCACAAAAACCUGGUGACAAGUAACUCCUUAGAGGACUUGAGUUUUAGAAGGACAAGCUCCAAAAGCAUCUCUAGAUAGCCUCCAGAACCCUGCUGGUGUGACUCUUUUUGGAACUAGUUCUAAAGGCUGGAAAGUCCAAGACCAAGACACCAGCAGAUCCAGUGUCUGGUGAGAGCCCACUCUCUGAUUCACAGAAGGCUUCUUACUGUGUUGAAAAGACAUGACUCAACCCACCCAUCACUUAGCAGCCGUCUGGGUUAUCAGAUUGACUGUCAUAGCGGCACAGUGCUUGUGUUCAAGUAACCCUUAUUUUACUUCCUGAUGGCCCCAAAGUGCCAAGAGUAGCGAUGCUGGUGAUUCCGACAUGCCAGAAAGAGGCUGCAAAGUGCUUCCUGUAAGCGAAAAGCUGAAAGUUCUCAAUGUAAUAAGGAAAGAAAAAGAAAUCAUAUGCUGAGGUUGCUAAGAUCUAUGGUACUCAGGGAGUUUUGAGAUCUUCCAAGAUGCCAUCGAGGAACUGAAAAGUGCUGUCCAGCUGCAGUGAGGGCUUUUUAAAGGCAGUUCCAUGUCUACACCCCACUGAGUUCAGACUGUCCAAUGAACCACUGACAUUGUUACACAUGCGUGUUGUGGACAACUUGAGAAAACACUUGUCUGCAGGAAGAUGAAAUUAAAAUCAAGUGUGAUCCUACCACCGAAAGAUAAGUGUUACUGAUAUUUUUUGUUAAUAACAUUCCAGUUUUUUAUGUAGUUUUGGGGUAGCUUAUUAUUUUCAUGUGAUUUCAAACUUGGAGAAAGUUUCCAAGAUGAGUCCAAGGAGCUCUCAUAUGUUCCUCACCCAGAUCCACCAACUGGCCACAUUUUGUCCCAUUUGCUUUAUUAUUCCUUCUACCUCUCUCUCUCUAAAGUAUUAUUAUAUGUUAAAUAUAUCUUAAUAUAAUUAUAGUUAUGUUAAAUAUAUCUUAAUAUAGUUACAAAUAAUUAUGUUAAAUAUAUCUUAAUAUAAUUAUGUUAAAUGAUGUUAUGAAUAUUAAAAAUUAUAAUUUAAAUAAUAUUCUAAUACAGGCAGACAUUUAGUUUCUGAACCAUUUGGGACCAAGCUGAAAACAUCAUUUUCCUUUACACCAUUUUCCUUCAGUGCCAGAGGGGACCAGAGCAGUGAGAGGUUGUGGGGGGAUCCUGGGCCAGGAGCAUCCCCAUUUCCUGGAAUAAGAUAGUUCUCUUAAAUAACUACAGUACCAACAUAGAAAUCAGGAAAUUUAGCAUUGACACUAUUAACUAAUGCACAGCCCAUAAACAAAUCAUAUCAAUUGUUCCAAUAAUUUGUGUUUGUUUGUUUGUUUUGUUUUUUUAGACGGAGUUUCACUCUUGCUGCCCAGGCUGGAGUGCAAUGACUCAAUCUCAGCUCACUGCAACUUCCACCUCCCAGAGUGUCUCCCAGGCUAGAGUGAAGAUUUCAGCUCACUGCAGCCUGGACCUCCUGGGCUCAAGCGAAACUUCUGGCCUCAGGCCCCCUGAGUAGCUGGGACUACAGACGUAUGCCACCAUGCCCUGCUAAUUUUUUGUAUAGACAGGGUUUCACCAUGUUACUCAGGCUGUAGCAUCAUUUUAAUAGCUGCAUAAUUUCCAUGAUGCACACUGUGUUUACUAAUUAUAACUCCUAUUGUUUUGUCAAAUUUCAACAUUUUGUCAAGUUUUGCUACCAUUAACAAUGUCGCACAGAACAUUUUUAUAGAUAAUUCUUUAUGUCCAUCAGAGAUUAUUUCCUAAGGGUAAAUUCCUAGAACUGGAAUUGGUAGUUAAAGGUUACGCUUUUUUUUUUUUUUUUUUGAGAUGAGUCUCGCCCUGUUGCCCAGGCUGGAGUGCAGUGGCACGAUCUCAGCUUACUGCAGCCUCCACCUCAUGGGUUCAAGCAAUUCUUCUGCCUCAGCGUCCCGAGUAGCUGGGACUACAGGUGCCUGCCACCAUGCCCAGUUAAUUUUUGUAUUUUUAGUAGAGAUGGGGUUUCACCAUAUUGGCCAGGUUGGUCUCAAACUCCUGACUUCAUGAUCCACCCACCUGGGACUCCCAAAGUGCUGGGAUUACAGGCGUGAGCCACAGCACCUGGCCCUGGUUAUGCAUAUUUUUAAGGCUAAAAAGUGCCAUUAGUAGGGCCCUGCCUCAAAAGCAUUUUUCAAAUUUCCGCUCCCCAUCUUAGUGUGUGCAAGGGCCCAUUUUGCCAUCUGCCUCCCUCCAACAUAGGGUUUGGUCAUUUUCCAAAAUCUUUUGUUGCUUUAAUUUGUGUUUCUUUAAUUAGAAAAUUUGACUUUUUUUCCAUAUAUUUUGAGCCAUUUAUGUAACUCCUUUUCUUGAGUUUCCUAUUUAUAUCCUUCGCUUGUCUUCCUGUUGAGUUUUCCUCUUUUGUUAAAACAUAUGUAGAUUUUAUGGUUACUACUGUAUGAAAACUUUGUAAAUUCAGCUGUGAGUUCUUUGCUGACUGAAGAGUUCUGUGCUUUUUGUUUUAUUUUGUUUUAAUUUCCAAAUAGCAUUUCCUUUACUGGAUUUGUAAUUAAUUUUUCAAGUUAUGUCUUCUAGAAAAAGAGCAGGACCUGGAAGCAGGAGAGUUGAAAGGUCAAGAGCACACGCUUUGGGGUCAGGCAGACCUGCUGCUGAGUCCUGGCUUUGCCGGCAGACUUUGUCGCCUGAGGGGACCAUUCAGAGAGACUUAUCGGCAGGACGUGUACAAAGAGGACAGAAGAGCAGAUGCAGCCUCCAAGAAUGAGCUGCUGAGGACGACAGGGACGCAGCCAAUGACCUGAAAGAGCGUGAGCCAACGUCUGUCCAAGCUCUGGUCCUGCUUCGUGCCUGCCCUGUGAUACUGGGCAAGUUGCUCAUCCCUGGACUUCUCCUUUCUCCUCCAUAAAACACGGCUUUGGGAGCAACUUGCUCUCCAAGGGCCAUUCCAACUCUAACAUUAUAAUUUUAUCAUGUGGGAUUUGGCAUAAUUGGUUAUCUCUGAACGCUUACACUUUUUUUUUUUUUUUUUUUUGAGAUGGAUUCUCGCUCUGUUGCCCAGGCUGGAGUGCAGUGGCGCAAUCUCAGCUCACUGCAAGCCCCACCUCCCGGGUUCACGCCAUUCUCCUGCCUCAGCUUCCCGAGUAGCUGGGACUACAGGCGCCCUCCACCAGGCCCAGCUAAUUUUUUUUUUGUAUUUUUAGUAGAGACAGGGUUUCACCAUGUUAGCCAGGAUGGUCUUGAUCUCCUGACCUCGUGAUCCGCCCACCUCGGCCUCCCAGAGUGCUGGAACACUUACACUUUUAAGGUAUUUGUACACAUACACGAAGCAAAACAAGAGGCAGGAGGUGCAAACAGCCCCACGAACAAAUGCUCCAGGGCGUUUAGGAGAAACCCCGCACCUUGAACCUCUCUUCUCACCCAACCUGCUUUCCAGACCUUCCUUCCCUCCUGGCUAAACGCCCUGUAGAAGCACUAAUGUGUCCAUGUGCCUCUGGAAGCCAGGCUUUCCCUGGAAGCACAGCUGUAGUAGCUGACUACUCAGAAGACCCUAACUAUGCUGAUGUUGAUGGAAAGGGCUGAAUUCUUUGAAGCCUCAUGGUGGAAAUUUAAAGAAAAUAAUGUGAGAGCGUCACAGACAAUUGCACGUUCACCACCACAAAUGGUGCCAUCCCAGAGACAAAUAUGUAAUAGUUCAGAACUUGGGAAAAUGGCCCAGGAUCGAGCCAUGCUAAGAAUGGGAGCAAUUUGGCUGAUACAUAGCUGCCCUGUGCUCCAGCAGGGGGAAAAAAAAGGUUCUAAUUACCCAGCCGCAAUCCUGUAUUUAGAUGUAAAAGGGAGGAAAUAGCUGAGCUCUGUUCUAGUCACAGACAUGCCAAACGGGUCAAGAGAAAAGCCUUCUGCCCAGACCACUGCUGAGCCCACGGCUGGCCUGGGCCCAGGCUGCCCAGCCGAUGAGCCUCAUAUGGACCUCCAGAAGGCCACAGCGGCCCCACUUUAUCCUCUGCCUAUUUUGCCAGGACAUCGGCCUCAGACAAUUUCCUCCUCAAAGUUUCUUCACUCUCUUUGGUGUUCUGUUUCAUGCAAAUCUGUUGGGGAUGGGAGGAAUUAAGGACAGGGAGAUCAAAUGACAACCCCUGCCUCCUCAGUGAUUAAAAAAAAUCAGAGCUCAUCCGUAUGGCAGCGGCAUUUCUGACCUGGUCCAGCAUUCCUCCCUCACCCUGUGCUUUCUGAAACUCUCAUGCAUCUUCCGAAUGUCACCUGCUGCCAUGAGGUCAGCAUGGACGAGGGUCAGCGUGGAUCUCCGGUUCUACUAGGCUGCCAAAGCAGCAGAGACAAGCUUCAAUCCGAAGAUAUUUACGACCUGACAAAUACCCCAUCUCAAGAACUUACAGAAACCUCAGCAUGGACAGCCUGGAGUGAAAGGAUGCUUACUUCCUAGGAAGGGCAUUUCUGCUUGGGAGAUGCUCAGCUGUGCCUCAGUUUCCCUUAGUCUUCCUCUGAGCUGCAGGUAAUUGAGACUGAGAGGCUUUCCACACUUCCCAGAAGGGGCAGACUUGAUGGUGCUUCCUAUCUCCACGCAAGAGCAACUAUUGCAGAUCCUCACCUCCGACAGUGCUGAUGGAAACACCCACACCUGCUCGCAGCGGGUCUGGGCUUUCCUAGUCAAUCAUUUUACUUUCAGGGUGUAGAGGUAGGAGAAUGAAACAGAUUGCACAGCACUGGUGAAAAGAAAAGGAGAAAUUCAGGGAGGAGGAAUGAGGGAUCCUCUUUCUUGUGUGUGGGUGUUAGCUUGCCUCCCAACCACACUGACACUUGCUGUGCCAUUGAUUUGACUUUUCUCCUAUCUUAACAAUAACAAAUCAUUAAAAAAUCCGUUUAUCAAAAUAUAAAAUGG